UCCUGAUGUAAAAAUGACGUCGUUGCCUU
RNAcentral lists this non-coding RNA (29 nucleotides) under Bombyx mori (domestic silkworm). Lineage: Eukaryota; Metazoa; Arthropoda; Insecta; Lepidoptera; Bombycidae. The record is from RNAcentral.